Molecule: transfer RNA, 72 nt
Filed under: Diaphorina citri (Asian citrus psyllid)
Lineage: Eukaryota; Metazoa; Arthropoda; Insecta; Hemiptera; Psyllidae
Rfam family: tRNA
About the family: Transfer RNA (tRNA) molecules are approximately 80 nucleotides in length. Their secondary structure includes four short double-helical elements and three loops (D, anti-codon, and T loops).
Source: Rfam by way of RNAcentral
GCUCCCAUGGCGUAGUGGUCACUGCGCUCGCCUUGCACGCGGGAGACCCGGGUUCGAUUCCCAGCGGAGUCA